RNAcentral lists this ribosomal RNA (908 nucleotides) under Bacillus cereus. RNAcentral's name for it is "bacterial SSU rRNA". It matches the Rfam family "Bacterial small subunit ribosomal RNA", at positions 64 to 951 of the family's 1533-position model. The record is from RNAcentral. Lineage: Bacteria; Bacillati; Bacillota; Bacilli; Caryophanales; Bacillaceae.
GAGCGAAUGGAUUAAGAGCUUGCUCUUAUGAAGUUAGCGGCGGACGGGUGAGUAACACGUGGGUAACCUGCCCAUAAGACUGGGAUAACUCCGGGAAACCGGGGCUAAUACCGGAUAACAUUUUGAACCGCGUGGUUCAAAAUUGAAAGGCGGCUUCCGCUGUCUCUUAUGGAUGGACCCGCGUCGCAUUAUCUAUUUGGUGAGGUAACGGCUCACCAAGGCAACUAUGCGUACCCGACCUGAGAGGGUGAUCGGCCACUCUGGGACUGACACACGGCCCACACUCCUACGGGAGGCAGCAGUAGGGAAUCUUCCGCAGUGGACGAAAGUCUGACAGAGCAACGCCGCGUGAGUGAUGAAGGCUUUCAGGUCGUAAAUCUCUGGUGUUAGGGAAGAACAUGUGCUACUUGAAUAAGGUGGCACCUUGACGGUACCUAACCAGAAAGCCACGGCUAACUACGUGCCAGCAGCCGCGGUAAUACAUAUGUGGCAAGCGUUAUCCGGAAUUAGUGGGCGUAAAGCGCGCGCAGGUGGUUUCUUAAGUCUGAUGUGAAAGCCCACGGCUCAACCGUGGAGGGUCAUUGGAAACUGGGACACUUGAGUGCAGAAGAAGAGAGUGGAAUUCCAUGUGUAGCGGUGAAAUGCAUAGAGAUGUGGAAGAACACCAGUGGCGAACGCGACUCUCUGGUCUGUCACUGACUCUGAAGCGCGAAAGCGUGGGGAGCACACAAGAUUAGAUACCCUGGUAGUCCACGCCGUACACGAUGAGUGCUAAGUGUUAGAGGGUUUCCGCCCUAUAGUGCUGAAGUUCACGCAUUAAGCACUCCGCCUGGAGAGUACGGCCGCAAGGCUGAAACUCAAGGGAAUUGACGGGGGCCCGCACACGCGGUGGAGCAUGUGGUUUAAUU